UACAGAGGUCUCAAGCGUUGUUCGGAUUCAUUGGGCGUAAAGGGUGUGUAGGUGGCGCCGUAAGUCGGGUGUGAAAUCUCGGGGCUUAACUCCGAAACUGCAUUCGAUACUGCGGUGCUUGAGGACUGGAGAGGAGACUGGAAUUCAUGGUGUAGCAGUGAAAUGCGCAGAUAUCGGGAAGAACACCCGUGGCGAAGGCGGUUCUCUGGGACGGUACUGACGCUGAGACGCGAAAGCGUGGGGAGCGAACAGG
Molecule: ribosomal RNA, 253 nt
Filed under: uncultured bacterium
Lineage: Bacteria
Description: partial 16S ribosomal RNA
Rfam family: Bacterial small subunit ribosomal RNA
Source: RNAcentral